AGUGAACGCUGGCGGUAGGCCUAACACAUGCAAGUCGAACGGCAGCACAGUAAGAGCUUGCUCUUACGGGUGGCGAGUGGCGGACGGGUGAGGAAUACAUCGGAAUCUACUUUUUCGUGGGGGAUAACGUAGGGAAACUUACGCUAAUACCGCAUACGACCUACGGGUGAAAGCAGGGGAUCUUCGGACCUUCGCGAUUGAAUGAGCCGAUGUCGGAUUAGCUAGUUGGCGGGGUAAAGGCCCACCAAGGCGACGAUCCGUAGCUGGUCUGAGAGGAUGAUCAGCCACACUGGAACUGAGACACGGUCCAGACUCCUACGGGAGGCAGCAGUGGGGAAUAUUGGACAAUGGGCGCAAGCCUGAUCCAGCCAUACCGCGUGGGUGAAGAAGGCCUUCGGGUUGUAAAGCCCUUUUGUUGGGAAAGAAAAGCAGCAGGUUAAUACCCCGCUGUUCUGACGGUACCCAAAGAAUAAGCACCGGCUAACUUCGUG
RNAcentral lists this ribosomal RNA (491 nucleotides) under uncultured bacterium. Its description in RNAcentral is "partial 16S ribosomal RNA". It matches the Rfam family "Bacterial small subunit ribosomal RNA", at positions 29 to 507 of the family's 1533-position model. The record is from RNAcentral.